Molecule: non-coding RNA, 45 nt
Filed under: Schistosoma margrebowiei
Lineage: Eukaryota; Metazoa; Platyhelminthes; Trematoda; Strigeidida; Schistosomatidae
Source: RNAcentral
AUCCGGCUGAUGAGUCCCGAUUAAGACGAAACGCGUGUACUGGAU